RNAcentral lists this unclassified non-coding RNA (5932 nucleotides) under Leishmania donovani. The record is from RNAcentral. Lineage: Eukaryota; Euglenozoa; Kinetoplastea; Trypanosomatida; Trypanosomatidae.
CUUUUCUCUGUCGUGCGCGUACUUCUCUGUUUCGUUGUCGAUACACACCUGUGUGUGUGUGUGUGUGUGUGUGUGUGUGUGUGUGUGUCUGCAACACUCCCAUUCGUGCCCUCUGUCUUAGUGGUCGUGCCCAUCGCAUAAUAAGCGUUUUGCGGAGAAGGGCGCUCUCAUUUUUUUUGUUGCUGCUGUUUGCUCUCCUCCUCGCCCGCCGGAUACAGCACACACACACACACUGACUCAAAUACUCACUCACACGCGCGCAUAAGCGGCACAUAUAGUUUCCUAAGCACGUGCACAACACACGCGCAGAUAAGCAUCAGUAUGUAUUUAAUUGCACUGAGCUGCUGAGCUUCUCCCUCUCUCUCUCCCCCUUCCCCCAACCUUUGCGCCUUGUGUUGUUGCUGCCGCACACGCUCAUCCUCAGCAGCACAGCACCAAGUCCCACCCCAUCCCCACCUCUUUUUCUCUCUCCCCCAUCGUCAGAACAUGUCGACCGUCAACACAGAGGGCAUGCUAGAGUGGUGCUUGGGUAUCCAGUACGCCUUGCGCACCAUUGGCGCGUACCUUCAGCUCGGCUUUUCCCUCGGGGCGGUGCAGGCACGCCACGCCUGCGUGCCGUACCAGCUCGUCGCGUACAAGGCGACGUGUGCGUGGCGCUACAACAUCGCCGCACCAGAGGACGGACCGAUCUACCUCGAGGGGCCCGACGCCGAGAGCUCGACACAGACGUCGACUGGUCAAACUACCAAAAGAAUCGCCCCGCUGUGCGCGCAGGCGAGCGGCGCCGUCGACCCAGUACUUUUCCUGGCAGAGCUGCUGGCCAAGUUCGACUCACUCGCCGCCAUCACACACGGCGAGGCGGUCGACGUGCGGCUGCUCCAGCGAUUCAUGCAUCAGGACAUUCUUGUUUGUAAGCAGCGCCACGCGCAGAUCGCCGCCGGCGUGGCGAUUCCGAGUAAGAGCAGCCACGCUAGUGAGGAGAGCAUUGUCUUUCGUCUUUCCGAGACCGACGCCACGUAUGCCUCGGUGGUGGCAGCCGGGCACCCAACCACCAUCACGUACCGCGACUUGGUUAUCCUCAUAACGCUGCUCAGUGAGGCCAUCGCGUGGGACCUCCUGUGGAUCCACGAAGGACAAGACCGACAAAGGGCACAACAGCAGUCAAAGAUAGCCGACGCCGCGCCAGCAGCACCGGUGCUGCCGCCGCCGCCGCGCCCGACUGAGGCGGACUGUCUCGCGCUCAUGCUGCCCAACUCGGUGGAAUACAACGCGGUGUGGAUGGCCGCAGCGCGGAGUGGGCCGCUGCACACCCUCCUCGACGUUCUCUACCGCAACAGCAACAGCGAGCAGCCCAAGACAGAGCGUGGCACCUACCGCCCUUGCCGGACUGCGCUGCUGAACACGAAUCUGGCGAGCAACACCAUGCUCUACCACGCGAUGGAGUGCUCGGGAAGCGUCAUGAUAGUGAUGGACGUCGCCUACGUGCCUCUUCUCUUCUGCAGCCGAACGAGUGACGACGCCGACGCCGAGGGCGUGACGUCAAAACUCGAGCUGCACGUGCCGCCUCAUGUGAAGCGCAUCUACCUCUGGCGCAGCACCAACGCUGCGGGGCAGCCCGUAUCCAGUGCCAUGACAACGGAAAUGGAGGAGCUUCUGCGGGUCUUUAACGCAAGCGCCUACGGCGACGCCAAGUCGCUGAAGGCAGCGAACCCGUCUGCCGGCGACAGUUUUGUGGCCCCGCCAUCCACGCCGCCGCUGGAUCUCUACGACGUGGUGAAGCCUUUCUUGUUGCGCGCGCAAGCCAACCCGGACUUCACGGUAGGCGAGAUGCGCCAUACCUACCUCAUCAGCAGCCCGCGCGUGCGCCUACUCAUGCACGUCAUCCUUUCCCGCCCGCCGCCGUCGUGGAAGUCGAUGCUGGCCCUGGGCAAACCUUCCUCCGCCAAGAAUGGCGGUGCGGAGCCGUACGCGACAGCCGCCGGCUCAGUCAAAAGUCGAAAGCAGCUGCAGCACUACAAGACCAAGAUGGUCUCCAUCCUUUCUCGCCUGCUUCGCCGGUUCCACCACACGCAGCCGAUCCUCUUUAUCUACACCUCCGGCACAUCGGGCUUGCCCAAGGCCGCACGGUUCAGCCACCUGCGCUUCUUCGCGACCGGCUUCCUCUCCCGCGUCUUGUACUACCGUGAUAAGAUUGCCGAGACCGUUGUGCAGCAGAUGAACGAGGUCGACUACGUGGCCGCGCACCCGGCAGCAGCUGGAGCAGCGUCAGCACCUGGGCUGCCACAACAGCAGCAGCAGUCUUCCUCUUCUCCUCACACCUCCCUCACACAGCUGCACGCGUCCGGCAAGCGGGAAACACCAGAAGAAAAGACGGACAAGGUUGGCAUGCCUAGCGUCGCGAGCAGCAUCCAAUACCACUGCCCGACUGCGCCGCACGUAUUCGGCAUCGAGUCCCUGGACUUCACGUGCCGCGAGCGCAACAUCGUCGAGGCAGCCCUUUUUGCCCUCUGGAGCGCCUCCCUGUGGUGCCUUCGCCUCUUCGCGGCAGUCCUCGGGCUGGAAUACUUCGUCGCCUCCGCGGUGGAGCAGCGGCUCUACACGCCGGCGCAGCUCGCCGCCAUCGAGAACGAGCGCCGCCUCAUCACAUUGUAUAACUGCCUGCCCAUGUGUCAUACCGUCGGCAGCGUCUUCUGCCUUGGCCAUCUCUUGCACGCAUUGGAGGAGCAGCAGCAUGCUUGGGCACAAAUACGCCGUUGUGCGCCUCGCCACACCCGCCUCGCCGCCACCGUGCCCACCGUGCGCAUGAUUAUCCGCACCAAGUUCAGCGCCUCGCAGUUCCGCAAGGACCUGCAGCGCUACCACGUCACGGUUGUCCAGUACAUCGGCGAGGUCUUGCGGUACGCUGUGCUGUACGAGCGCAGCCACUCCCCCGUCCAGGCCGCGCCGCCCUCCUCUGGCGCGACGGCGGAGACGGCGGCGACGACGACGGAGAUGGAUGCAUUGGCGGUGCUGAACCGCACGGCAUGGCGGGUGCCGUACGCCUUCGGCAAUGGACUGCGCCAGGACAUCUGGCUCGAGUGCAUGCGUCGCCUGAACAUCGCGCACCCGGUUGAGUUCUACAGCUCCACCGAGGGCAACAUUUUUCUCUUGAACCUGUUUGGCAUGCCGGGCAUCGUGGGACACAUCCCGCGCUUCCCGCGCCCGAUCGAGUGGCUCAGUAUGCAGUACAUCCCCCUCUUCCCAUUCCGUGUGUUGCGGUUCAAUGAGGAGACGCAACAGGUAUACCGCGACCCCAAGACGGGGUACUGCUCGCACUGCGACGUCGGCGAGGUGGGCGAGGUGGUGGGCGAGGUGAUCGAGGGCUUCGACGUGUUCGCGCUCCGCCGCUUUGAUGGAUACCACAAGGCCCACCACGCCGCUGCUGCUGCCGACGGCGCCUCCAUCGGCAACAGCAGCGGCGGCACGAAGGCGAAGUCGACGGCGCCAGCCGACCAGGAAGAGGAUGAGGCGGCUCGGGAGAGCAAGGUCGCUCGCCAUGUGCUGUGGCCGCAUCACAACGACUGCUACUUCCUCUCUGGCGACCUCAUUCGAAUGGACCGCUUCGGCUUCUGCACAUUCGUCGACCGCAUCGGUGACACCUUCCGCUGGAAGGGUGAGAACGUCAGCACGCUUGAGGUGUCCAACGCCCUCAACUCCAUCCACACAACGCGCGUCGGGGUACAGGAAGCCGUCGUGUACGGUGUGGAGCUGCCAGGGCGUGAGGGGCGAGCUGGUAUGGCCAUGCUGAGCCUGCAGCCGCGGCACCUGCGCUCGUCCUCGGACGGUUGCAGCAGCACGAGCCCCAGCUCGCCGUCGUCCCGGUUGCCGGCCCCGUCGCGGCCACAGUCCCUCACCCUCGCCGAGGAGCGUCGCUUUCUCCAGGAUGACCUGUACGAAUUUCUCACUGGCAAAGUGCGGCGCAACGGUGAUGGGACGGAGAAUCAGGCGAUGCUUCCGGCCUCCGCGAUUCCGCUAUUUCUGCGCAUGCAUGAUCUGGUGGCGGGCGACAGCCAAGACGGUGACAACGGGGUCAUCUCCUCCGAGGUGCGGUUGAACAAGCACGCUGUGGCCGAGGACGCCACACAGACGUCUACGUUCAAGUACAAGAAAGGCAUCCUCAUCAAUCAGGGCUACGAGUUCGACGGGAGCUCGACGACUUGCGCGGAGGUGCCAGCAAGUGCGUGGGGCAACAGUGUCACUGGCGACGACGACGCGACGACGACGCCGUAUGUGCGCGUCUACGUACUUGUGUCCAAUCAGGCGGCGCUGAAGGAGUUGGCGUUGCCGCCGGUGGGCUCGAAGGGUGCCAGCGGCGCCCCACACGCCACCGGCUACGUCCCGCUAACAGCCGCGACUCGUGCCAUUCUCGGCGCGAACAUGGAAAAAUGCGGCUGGUAAAAUCAAGCAAACGCAUCUCUCCCUCUCACACAAGCACGAUGUUUACGGCUGUGGCAGUGAUGAGUGCGGGUGGCACAUCGGAGUGUGGGUGCGCGCGUGUGUGGUGUCGCGCGCUCUCUCUCCGACUUAGCAAAAAGAGGUCGAUGACGUGAUGUGGGAAGCAGAACGCCGAUCAGCGGGGGAGAGGGUCGCCAUGCACGUGUUAUGUGUCUACGUUUGCCUCUGCAUUUAUGCGUGUGUGUGUGUGUGUAUGUGUGCAGGGGAGAGAUCGGCUGAUGUGUAUAGCAGUGUGAGGUGGCGUCAUGUGCAUCAGUGCUUGUCCCAUCGGCAACGAAUGCGUCUCCUCACCAAAAACAGAUCUCUUCCUUACCCUCCCCCUCCCUUAGCGCCUCCACACCACGCCGUGCCCGUUCGCUUUUCUUCUCCGGUACUGCCUCUCUCUGUCUAUUCUCGUCUCGGUGUGUGCACGGGGGCCUGUUGUGGUUUUCGCGCGGGCGUGAGGGAAGAGGGUGCCCUUUGGAGGCCCACUACACACAGGCAGCACACGAACUUCCGAGCAAAAAGAGAGACGCCGAUAUCCGACGGCGCGGAUCUGCAUAUGAGCGUGCAAGUCUGGGCUGUGUGUGUGUGUGUGUGUGUUACCCUGUUGUGCGCCGGUUGCCUUCAGUGCCUUCCUCAUCGAACAGAACAACGAUAAUCGCACCCGUGCGCGUGCGCGCGCUUUACCCAGCCGCUUCCCACCAUCACCUCCUCUCCAGUCUGUGCCACCCACACCAACGUAUUUGCAACACAAGCUGACGCUAGCCUCCCUUCCCAUGCACUUCGUAGUUGGGGAUCGACUGCGACACAAGGCGGAUACGUUGCUGUCUCUCGACCCUCAAGGUGAUCCUUCCACACUGGCGGUGAGGGCAAUACGUGAGCGCGUGCGCGCAAGGAAGAUUCCUCGGGCAGCGUCUGCCUCGGCCCCUUCCCCCAUGUCCUUUCCUCAUACCUGAUGAUGCCGGCCACCUCCGUGCGUGGUAUCUCAGGGCCCAGUGCCUCCACUCUCUGUGAAGGAGGAAGCCAACGCAGCCCUCUUAUCCCUCCUAAUAGUGAACGACUUGUGGUGAGUGGCAGGGUCAGGCCCUGGAUGGUGUGGCAUCGGGGCGACCAACGACAAUGAGCACGCUCACAUCACCCGUAUGGUGGGCGAAGUGUCAUCGUGACUGGAGCGUAUCCCACCACCCGGCCCUCACACUGCCCGCUGGUGGAGGGAGCCUCGGACACCUCGAGGGGGAGGCACCGGGUAGCGGCUGGCAUGAUGGGAGCGGGAGUGAGUGAGGUGGGUGGGUGGGGUAGCGUUUGCGACAGGAGCCGUGCUCCGAUGAUUGAGUCGGCUUAUGGCUGUAACGGGCGUGUCCACCGCUGCUUCGCACCAGGUGUUGGGGAAUGUGGCAGGGCCGGGGGGGAGAGUGACCUCAUGUUGUAUUGCAGAAAGUAGUCGCGCUGAAGAUAC